This 181-nucleotide ribosomal RNA is filed under the name uncultured bacterium. Its description in RNAcentral is "partial 16S ribosomal RNA". It matches the Rfam family "Bacterial small subunit ribosomal RNA", at positions 1319 to 1500 of the family's 1533-position model. The record is from RNAcentral.
CAUGAAGUCGGAAUCGCUAGUAAUCGCGGAUCAGCAUGCCGCGAUGAAUACGUUCCCGGGCCUUGUACACACCGCCCGUCACACCAUGAGAGUCGGGAACACCCGAAGUCCGUAGCCUAACCGCAAGGGGGCGCGGCCGAAGGUGGGUUCGAUAAUUGGGGUGAAGUCGUAACAAGGUACC